RNAcentral lists this signal recognition particle RNA (310 nucleotides) under Otolemur garnettii (small-eared galago). RNAcentral describes it as "Metazoan signal recognition particle RNA". It matches the Rfam family "Metazoan signal recognition particle RNA". Rfam says of the family: The signal recognition particle (SRP) is a universally conserved ribonucleoprotein. It is involved in the co-translational targeting of proteins to membranes. The record is from Rfam by way of RNAcentral. Lineage: Eukaryota; Metazoa; Chordata; Mammalia; Primates; Galagidae.
GCCGGGCGUUGUGGCGGGCGCCUGUGGUCCCAGCUACUUGGGAGGUGGAGGCAGGAGACUCGCUUGAGCCCAGGAGUUGGAGGUUGCUGUGAGCUGUAAUGCCAUGGCACUCUACCCAGGGGGACAGCUUGAGGCUCUGUCUCAAAAAAAAAAAAAAGAGUUUCAAGAUUCUUAAAAUAAAGAGUACUGAGAUAUCAUCUAUUUUUUUUUUUGAGACAGAGCCUCAAGCUAUCCCCCUGGGUAGAGUAUUGUGGCAUCACAGCUCACAGCAACCUCCAACUCUUGGGCUCAAGCGAGUCUCUUGCCUCAG